GGGCCCGCACAAGCGGAGGAACAUGUGGUUUAAUUCGAUGAUACGCGAGGAACCUUACCCGGGCUCGAACGGUGCAUGAAUGGACAAGAGAUUGUUCAGACCUUAGGGACAUGUAUCGAGGUGCUGCAUGGUUGUCGUCAGCUCGUGCCGUGAGGUGUCGGCUUAAGUGCCAUAACGAGCGCAACCCUUGUCAUUAGUUACCAUCAGGUAGAGCUGGGGACUCUAAUGAGACUGCCACCGUAAGGUGAGAGGAAGGGGGGGAUGACGUCAAAUCAGCACGGCCCUUAUGUCCGGGGCGACACACGUGUUACAAUGGGGGGUACAGAGGGCAGCCAUCCGGCGACGGAGCGCCAAUCUCAAAAACCCUUCUCAGUUCGGAUUGGAGUCUGCAACUCGACUCCAUGAAGUUGGAUUCGCUAGUAAUCGCGCAUCAGCCAUGGCGCGGUGAAUACGUUCCCGGGCCUU
RNAcentral lists this ribosomal RNA (465 nucleotides) under uncultured bacterium. Its description in RNAcentral is "bacterial SSU rRNA". It matches the Rfam family "Bacterial small subunit ribosomal RNA", at positions 917 to 1382 of the family's 1533-position model. The record is from RNAcentral.